This 711-nucleotide ribosomal RNA is filed under the name Streptomyces sp. RNAcentral describes it as "bacterial SSU rRNA". It matches the Rfam family "Bacterial small subunit ribosomal RNA", at positions 97 to 822 of the family's 1533-position model. Lineage: Bacteria; Bacillati; Actinomycetota; Actinomycetes; Kitasatosporales; Streptomycetaceae. The record is from RNAcentral.
GGCGAACGGGUGAGUAACACGUGGGCAAUCUGCCCUUCACUCUGGGACAAGCCCUGGAAACGGGGUCUAAUACCGGAUAAUACUUUCUCCCUCCUGGGAGAAGGUUGAAAGCUCCGGCGGUGAAGGAUGAGCCCGCGGCCUAUCAGCUAGUUGGUGGGGUAAUGGCCUACCAAGGCGACGACGGGUAGCCGGCCUGAGAGGGCGACCGGCCACACUGGGACUGAGACACGGCCCAGACUCCUACGGGAGGCAGCAGUGGGGAAUAUUGCACAAUGGGCGAAAGCCUGAUGCAGCGACGCCGCGUGAGGGAUGACGGCCUUCGGGUUGUAAACCUCUUUCAGCAGGGAAGAAGCGAAAGUGACGGUACCUGCAGAAGAAGCGCCGGCUAACUACGUGCCAGCAGCCGCGGUAAUACGUAGGGCGCAAGCGUUGUCCGGAAUUAUUGGGCGUAAAGAGCUCGUAGGCGGCUUGUCACGUCGGUUGUGAAAGCCCGGGGCUUAACCCCGGGUCUGCAGUCGAUACGGGCAGGCUAGAGUGUGGUAGGGGAGAUCGGAAUUCCUGGUGUAGCGGUGAAAUGCGCAGAUAUCAGGAGGAACACCGGUGGCGAAGGCGGAUCUCUGGGCCAUUACUGACGCUGAGGAGCGAAAGCGUGGGGAGCGAACAGGAUUAGAUACCCUGGUAGUCCACGCCGUAAACGUUGGGAACUAGGUG